RNAcentral lists this ribosomal RNA (497 nucleotides) under uncultured bacterium. RNAcentral's name for it is "partial 16S ribosomal RNA". It matches the Rfam family "Bacterial small subunit ribosomal RNA", at positions 28 to 507 of the family's 1533-position model. The record is from RNAcentral.
GAUGAACGCUGGCGGCGUGCCUAAUACAUGCAAGUCGAGCGAACAGACGAGGAGCUUGCUUCUCUGACGUUAGCGGCGGACAGGUGAGUAACACGUGGAUAACCUACCUAUAAGACUGGGAUAACUUCGGGAAACCGGAGCUAAUACCGGAUAAUAUAUUGAACCGCAUGGUUCAAUAGUGAAAGACGGUUUUGCUGUCACUUAUAGAUGGAUCCGCGCCGCAUUAGCUAGUUGGUAAGGUAACGGCUUACCAAGGCAACGAUGCGUAGCCGACCUGAGAGGGUGAUCGGCCACACUGGAACUGAGACACGGUCCAGACUCCUACGGGAGGCAGCAGUAGGGAAUCUUCCGCAAUGGGCGAAAGCCUGACGGAGCAACGCCGCGUGAGUGAUGAAGGUCUUCGGAUCGUAAAACUCUGUUAUUAGGGAAGAACAAAUGUGUAAGUAACUAUGCACGUCUUGACGGUACCUAAUCAGAAAGCCACGGCUAACUACGUG